GACGAACGCUGGCGGCGUGCCUAAUACAUGCAAGUUGAGCGCUGAAGGUUGGUACUUGUACCAACUGGAUGAGCAGCGAACGGGUGAGUAACGCGUGGGGAAUCUGCCUUUGAGCGGGGGACAACAUUUGGAAACGAAUGCUAAUACCGCAUAAAAACUUUAAACACAAGUUUUAAGUUUGAAAGAUGCAUUUUCAUCACUCAAAGAUGAUCCCGCGUUGUAUUAGCUAGUUGGUGAGGUAAAGGCUCACCAAGGCGAUGAUACAUAGCCGACCUGAGAGGGUGAUCGGCCACAUUGGGACUGAGACACGGCCCAAACUCCUACGGGAGGCAGCAGUAGGGAAUCUUCGGCAAUGGACGAAAGUCUGACCGAGCAACGCCGCGUGAGUGAAGAAGGUUUUCGGAUCGUAAAACUCUGUUGGUAGAGAAGAACGUUGGUGAGAGUGGAAAGCUCAUCAAGUGACGGUAACUACCCAGAAAGGGACGGCUAACUACGUG
Molecule: ribosomal RNA, 497 nt
Filed under: uncultured bacterium
Lineage: Bacteria
Description: partial 16S ribosomal RNA
Rfam family: Bacterial small subunit ribosomal RNA
Source: RNAcentral